ACCCCCUCGGCAGCAAGACCCUUCGCGCACGCUCUUUCGCGUCCGAACCGGCCUCGGAGACCCUGGCGUCCUCUCGGCCCGACAGGUGGAGCGCGGAGAGUGAAUUACGUGAUCGAGUUUCGGUGAUUGAGUUCCCUGUCAGGUAGGGGCGUUUUAACACCAACCGAAGGGAAAGGUGAAGGACACAAGUAGUUGAAUCAAUUGUUGUGACAUUCAGGCACUAUAGUGGUUCGGUUUAGUGCCAGUCGAGUGAUUCAUGUGUUGCAAGCGCAUGCGAUGAUAUGUAUGUAUGCAUGUGAGAAAAUAGCAAAUUAGUAAACAGUUUAAUGAAUACAUAUGUGCUAAAGGGUGUCUCUGUAAUGACAUAUACUUGAAGUGGUUACACAAACGGAAGCGAAAAAGAAAGAAGAGGCAAGCACACAUAGAAGAAAGAAUACAGACUUUUGAUUGAAAGUAAUUGAGCUGGUCUAUUCUCGAUCCCUGGAAUUAUAAAGCUCAUAUCAUAUUCUAGAAGCAGAAUCUUUUCUGUCUGGCAGUAUAUUCGGUGCACUGUAAACCCCCCCACCCCCACUUCUCCCGGGACAUCGAACCAGUGACGUCACAUUCCCGGCGAAGCACGGCGACGCCCACAGCGCUGAGACGGCAGCCUCCAUUCG
This 656-nucleotide long non-coding RNA is filed under the name Penaeus japonicus. Its description in RNAcentral is "uncharacterized LOC122256336". Lineage: Eukaryota; Metazoa; Arthropoda; Malacostraca; Decapoda; Penaeidae. The record is from RNAcentral.